Molecule: ribosomal RNA, 450 nt
Filed under: Lachnospiraceae bacterium oral taxon F15
Lineage: Bacteria; Bacillati; Bacillota; Clostridia; Lachnospirales; Lachnospiraceae
Description: bacterial SSU rRNA
Rfam family: Bacterial small subunit ribosomal RNA
Source: RNAcentral
GAUGAACGCUGGCGGCGUGCUUAACACAUGCAAGUCGAACGAAGCAUUUAGAAGUUUUCGGACGGAAGAAUGACUUAGUGGCGGACGGGUGAGUAACGCGUGGGUAACCUGCCUUAUACAGGGGGAUAACAGUUGGAAACGACUGCUAAUACCGCAUAACCCGAUAGAGUCGCAUGACUUAGUCGGAAAAGAUUUAUCGGUAUAAGAUGGACCCGCGUCUGAUUAGCUAGUUGGUGAGGUAAUGGCCCACCAAGGCGACGAUCAGUAGCCGGCUUGAGAGAGUGAACGGCCACAUUGGGACUGAGACACGGCCCAAACUCCUACGGGAGGCAGCAGUGGGGAAUAUUGCACAAUGGGGGAAACCCUGAUGCAGCAACGCCGCGUGAAGGAUGAAGUAUUUCGGUAUGUAAACUUCUAUCAGCAGGGAAGAAAUGGACGUACCUGACUAGA